RNAcentral lists this ribosomal RNA (495 nucleotides) under uncultured euryarchaeote. Its description in RNAcentral is "bacterial SSU rRNA". It matches the Rfam family "Archaeal small subunit ribosomal RNA", at positions 860 to 1354 of the family's 1478-position model. Lineage: Archaea; Methanobacteriati; Methanobacteriota. The record is from RNAcentral.
AGGAAUUGGCGGGGGAGCACAACAACGGGUGGAGCCUGCGGUUUAAUUGGACUCAACGCCGGACAACUCACCGGGGACGACAGCAAUAUGUAGGCCAGGCUAAAGACCUUGCCUGAAUCGCUGAGAGGAGGUGCAUGGCCGUCGCCAGUUCGUACUGUGAAGCAUCCUGUUAAGUCAGGCAACGAGCGAGACCCGUGCCCACUGUUACCAGCAUGUCCUCCGGGACGAUGGGUACUCUGUGGGGACCGCCGAUGUUAAAUCGGAGGAAGGUGCGGGCUACGGUAGGUCAGUAUGCCCCGAAUUUCCCGGGCUACACGCGGGCUACAAUGAAUGGGACAAUGGGUCCCUACCCCGAGAGGGGUUGGUAAUCUCCCAAACCCAUCCGUAGUUCGGAUCGAGGGCUGUAACUCGCCCUCGUGAAGCUGGAAUCCGUAGUAAUCGCGUUUCAAUAUAGCGCGGUGAAUACGUCCCUGCUCCUUGCACACACCGCCCGUC